This 254-nucleotide ribosomal RNA is filed under the name uncultured bacterium. RNAcentral's name for it is "partial 16S ribosomal RNA". It matches the Rfam family "Bacterial small subunit ribosomal RNA", at positions 524 to 776 of the family's 1533-position model. The record is from RNAcentral.
UACGAAGGGGGCGAGCGUUGUUCGGAUUUACUGGGCGUAAAGGGCGCGUAGGCGGCGCGAGAAGUCGAGUGUGAAAGCCCCGGGCUCAACCUGGGAAUUGCGCUCGAUACUCUUGUGCUUGAGUUCGGGAGAGGAGCGUGGAAUUCCCAGUGUAGAGGUGAAAUUCGUGAGAUAUUGGGAAGAACACCGGUGGCGAAGGCGGCGCUCUGGACCGAGACUGACGCUGAGGCGCGAAAGCGUGGGGAGCAAACAGG